Molecule: long non-coding RNA, 292 nt
Filed under: Jatropha curcas
Lineage: Eukaryota; Viridiplantae; Streptophyta; Magnoliopsida; Malpighiales; Euphorbiaceae
Description: long non-coding RNA (JCUR_LNC001660)
Source: RNAcentral
UUGCUCAGUGUGGAAUGAUUUCACAGUACACUCUUGAUCAACCUCAAGGCAUAAAAAACCUAAUGUGCAUUAUUUAUAAAAGGCUUCACUUGGUAGGAUUUGUUGUCACUGAUCAUUACCAUUUCUUUCCCAAGUUCUUAGACAUAAUGUUGCCUUACAUAAGAGAAAGGAAGAUGGUGUAUGUAGAAGACCUAGUUGAAGGCCUUGAGAGCUGUCCAGCAGCUCUGGUGGGAAUUUUUAGUGGCAAAAAUGUGGGAAAGCAAGUGGUAAUAGUUGCUCAAGGAUAAAUUUG